This 405-nucleotide ribosomal RNA is filed under the name uncultured bacterium. RNAcentral's name for it is "partial 16S ribosomal RNA". It matches the Rfam family "Bacterial small subunit ribosomal RNA", at positions 28 to 526 of the family's 1533-position model. The record is from RNAcentral.
GAUGAACGCUGGCGGCGUGCCUAAUACAUGCAAGUCGAGCGAAGCGGGGACGGGUGAGUAACACGUGGAUAACCUCCUAUAAGACUGGGAUAACUUCGGGAAACCGGAGCUAAACCGGAUACUCAUACCUGGAUCCGCGCUGCAUUAGCUAGUUGGUAAGGUAACGGCUUACCAAGGCAACGAAGCAUAGACGACCUGAGAGGGUGAUCGGCCACACUGGAACUGAGACACGGUCCAGACUCCUACGGGAGGCAGCAGUAGGGAAUCUUGCGCAAUGGGCGAAAGCCUGACGGAGCAAGGCCGCGUGAGUGAAGAAGGUCUUCGGAUCGUAAAGCACUGUUAGUGGGGAGGCGGUACCUAAACAGAAAGCAACGGCUAACUCCGUGCCAGCAGCCGCGGUAAUUC